CUCGAAUUUAAACAUCAGCCUGAGAGCAAGCAGUGCUUGGGAAGGAUGGAAUGAAGAGUACUAAACACAGAAAUCAUUAUCUGAAGCCCUGAAGCUGUUGCUACUUGUAUCCAUCAGUUUCCAAGCACCGAUUUGGGCAGAAAGCUCUGUUCUGUCAUUUGAACAAUAGCCAGAGAGUAAACCACCUUCUACUGGACUUAGGCCAUUCAUCUGUUUUUGAAACUUCCAGUUAAAAUGGCUUUUCAGUAUGGGUGUGCUGGUGUGUACUCACAGGAUUUUAUGUGAUCAGAGGGACUGGAUGAUUCACCCAGCAGCAUGGUGAUCCACACCUUUGUCAUUGUAUAACCUUCACAUGGUCUCUUUAUCUUGGAAAUGCAGUGCUGCAUUUGUCUUGUGGAAACCCAUUCACAGUAAGUGGUAUAGUGAAUCCUCAUCUAUUCGAUGUCCUCAUCUAUUCUAAGUCCAUUUAGCUUAUGGAAACUGCAUCUGGCACUUUGCAGAACUCAAAGCAAUGAUAAUUUAGCACAGUUAAUUAUUUUUCGGUAUGUCAGAAAAUAGACAUUCUCAGAGCAUCUGAGUGCAUUGUACUGUGGUGAUGGUCAUGGGAUGUGGAGGUCACUGUAACUCACUUCCCCAAAUUCAAGUGUGAGUCAGGAUGCAAAGUCAGAAACUGAAUUGUGUAUAGAGAAUUCUCAGUCAUACUAAAAUCUAAAUUUGAAGGAGCAGUUUCUGAUUUGCCAAGAAGUUAGAAGGUCUAGACAUAGCAUCCAUCUGUCCUUUUAUUUGCACAACUAUCCAUCCAGGCUUCCUUUAACUUAUUCUUCCAUAUUAAAUAAUCUCUGAAGAUAAGGUAAAAUCACUCAUUUUCUCUGACAUAAUCUAAACAAAUUUGCAGGGCCCAAUUUUUGCCUUUAAAAACUACAAGGCAUGAAGACCUGUCAGGUGUCUGAAUUCAGACUAAAGAAAGUGUUCUGUUUAUUUUUAAAGAAAAAAUGAAAUCAGUGAAAUCACUAAAAAUAUAAAUUAAAUUUUAAAAUCAAACAAAAGCAUUAUCUUAAAUGUGUUUGCAGUGAAAGCCAAAACAGCCAAGAACAAAAACACAAAACAAUACAAUACAGAAGGCCAUUGCAUGCUGUACAGUAGAAAAAAAAAUUGUUUUUGGGAAAUAACAAUAAAAAUCAUUUUUUAAAAAGGGCAUUACAAAAGUAAACAUUUUAAAGGGAUUUUUGGAAUUGUUUAUGUAUGCAUGAUACAUUUAAUACUUUAAUAGUUUUUUUCAAACUAUGUUUCUUUGAAACACUGAUGUUCAGCUGAUUGGAGUGAGGUCAUCUACGCGUGAAUCAUAACUGUCACAUUUUCUCAACUAUACGGUCUUAUUUGUCACCAGUACACAAGGACGUAAAUACAGAAAUUGAGAGUAAACAGUUGGAAACUUUGGCAAAGUAAUUUAACGUCUGUUUAAUUAGAUAAUAAAAGUAAAUGGGGUUUGUUUUUCUUUAUCUUUGCUUUUUAUUUAUCUUUGCUUUUUAUUUCAUUUUCUAAUAAUUCCUUUAUAGCACAUUUUAGUAAAAUAUCAGUCUGUGCUGAAUUGAAAAUAAAACAAAACAAAGCAAUGACAUCAACAAAAAAAUCCAUCUCAUUAGUUAGAAGAGCAUUGUUCUAGAGUUCUCUUGAUUAGUAUGGAGUUUAAAAAUAAGUGUGUUUUCAGAAGCUCCUCAUCUCCAUGGUGCAAACUUGUACCCAUUUGACACAUUAAUUUGUUUCAGUGCAAGGCUAAAGGUAAAAGUGCCUCCUCGAAGAUGUUUUCACUUAAAGCCUAUUUACUCUUCUGGUUUUUAGAAAUAAUUUUAAAUAGAGAAAAUACUUAUUUUAAAAACAUUUUCUUCUGACAAAGUAUGCCUGAGCCUUUGACUUGACAUUGUAUGGCAGCCUGUAAGCCCAUGAUGAUGAUAAUAAAUUUUAGUACAAAAUAGCUUCUUUUCCUGGCAGAAUAACAUCUUUGCUGAUAUAGGUGACAUACUGUCUUAGUGGUACUGCUAGUGAGGGGGCUGCCUGAUUGAAACUGCAUAAAACUUUGCCCUUAGUGGCCUGCUCCUCUGAUGGGCCACUGCUUCCUGAGGCUGACUCAUCGCCCAUAAGCAGAGGUGUCUGAGGGCCUGUCAAAGCUUUUGCCACAUUUGGGCUGCAGAGAGCCCAAGUCAUCUAGGGACCACUGAGAUUUUUGAAUCAGAGUUUCCUGCUGGCCUGUUAUAAACAGCAUCUCCUCAGGGUCCUUAUUAAAACACAGGGGUGCCUCACAAAUAAGGCUCUCGAGUAUGGCCAUGAAUAAUGACCCUACUUCAGGCUGAAUUUGGUAUGUUUCAACUAAAGUCAAGAUUUUUCUAAUAAGGAUUGAUGAGACUGGCAUUCAAAGGAAAUUCAGCUGUGGGGGUACUGGAGCUUCUGUUUAAAGUCCUCCAUAAACCCAGACUGUUCCUCAUCACAUCCUAUGGAGAUCCUUUAAGGGGAAGACAUCUUUGAAAUUCCUGGGAGUUCCUAUAUUUGAUCAGCUUCAUGGGGCAUGGGACAGUAUAAAGACAGGAUAGGAUGCCAGCAAAGAACAGCAAGUAGUGAAUGGAACCAACACAGUGCAUACUCUUCUCCACAUUUGGGUGAGGAAAUUAUUGCUUUCCCUUCUGUUAUGGACUCAAUAUGUCCCCUCAAAAUUCAUGUUUUGGGGUCUACCCCCAAAAUCUCAGAAUGUGACCAUAUUUGGAGGCAGGCCCUUUAAAGAAGAAAUUACUUUAAUAUGAGGUGAUUAGUGUGGGUCCUAAUCCAGUCUGGCUGGUAUCCUUAUAAGAAGAGGAAGAGCAUGCCAGGACAUAGCCAGAAGGCAAGGGGAGAGACAUCCAAACAAACUAAACUUGCUACCUGGGUGGCUUAAGCCUUCAGAAUUAUGAUAAAUAAAUUUCUGUUGCUUAAGCCAUGGUCUCUGGUAUUUUGUUAUGGCAGCCCUAGCAAAUGACUAUGCUUAGGUAGGCUGACCCCAGGUGAGACUAUGCUCUACUUUUGUGUUUCAUGUUGUUUGAUCUGAAGAUGAAAUACAAAGGCCUGUGAGUAAGGAUGUGAAUAUAAGAGAAUACAUGUGAUGUGAAGGUUAAUUACUGUGUCUAGAUCUGCAAGCCAUGCAGGUUCAUUACUGCUCAGUUCUGCUCUGUAUGUAGAGAGAAUAGUCCACCUUUUCAAGGACAACUCGAGUUUGAUGAAAUUAAUACCCUAAGGAGCUACCCUUGUAUCUCACACCUGCCAUAGCAUGUUAAGGGCCAUAUACAAGUAAGAGAAGUGAUAUAUGGGGAUUUUUCUUGGUGGAUAUCAGUGAAAAGAGUAAGCUUUGAAACUCUGGUCAUGGAAUACAGCUUCUAAGGCUAAAAUGUGAACAGAGAUUAAUGAUGGUCAAAUAUGUCCUCAGAAUAAAACGCCUUCCUCCCAUAGUUGAAAUCACCUUCCCAUUUCCCUAUUUAGGUCGGUCUUUUUCUCCCUACUUCUGACUUUUGGCUAAUGGGAAAAUGUGUCAUACUUAUUAUUACUGUAGAAGGAAAUGUCAACUGUGUUUCAGCAGCCACUAAUGUAUUAAUUAAUUUAUUCAUUCAACAAAUAGGUAUUUAGUAACUACUAUAUGCAGAGCAUUAUGAUAAAUUCCUGGGAUUGUUGUCCUUGUGUAUAUGAAGUUAAAAUUCCAAAGUGUCUGAGAGGGAUAUGAGAGUUGGGAAAUGGAAUCCUUCAAGAAAUCCAUCUAAUACAUAUAAUUACAAUUGAUUCUCUAAGAAUAAAAUAUCAGACAUGAGAACUUUUUGUAGAAUGCCUAAGUGAUUAGAAUAAAAAGUCCAGUGAGGAACUACUGGAAGACAGCUCCAGCAAGGAGAAACAUAAAAAUAACAAGACAGAGAUGCAUGGGUUCAAAGACUAGAAGGUAGAGUGUGUAUUAAACAAAGGAGAUGGAGAAUGAUAGAAACUGAUGUCAGCCUUGUCAGACUGAGUCAUAUAGUUUGAAGUUACUCUAAGAGCACUUGAAGGCUAUUGAAGGGUUUUAUGGAGGCAUGUUAAUAUUUUAAUUUUUAUUUUAUUCCUUAAUUUUUAUUCUAUGUUUAUUAGGGUAUAGUUUGAUUUACAGUAUUGGGUCAAUUUCUGUUGUAUAGCAUAGCAGCUCAAUCACAACCAUAUAUACAUUCUUAUUCUCAUACUGUCUUCCUUCAUGUUCUAUCCCAAAAGAUUGGAUAUAGCUCCCUGACUGUAGAGUAGGACCUCAUUGCCUAUCCAUUCUAAAUGUAAUAGUUUGCAUUUACUAACCCCAGAUUCCCUGUCCAUCCCACUUCCCCCGCUUUUCCCCCUUGACAACCACAAAUCUGUUUUCUAUAAAAGUUUGCGAGUCUGUUUCUGUUUUGUAGAUAGGUUCAUUUGUGCCAUAUUUCAGAUUCCACAUAUGAGUGAUAUCAUUUGUCUCUUUCUGAAUUACUUCACUUAGUUAUGAGUCUCUAGUUGUAUCCAUGUUGCUGCAAAUGACAUCAUAUUUCUUUUGUAAGGAUGAGUAGUAUUCCAUUGUACAUAUGUACUAUAUCUUCUUAAUCCAUUAGUCUGUCAGUGGACAUUUAGGUUGUUUCUAUGUCUUGGCUAUUGUGAAUAGUGCUGCAAUGAAUGUAGGGGUGCAAUUAUAUUUAGAAUGAAAGUUUUGUCUGGAUAUUUGCCCAGGAUUGAGAUUGCUGGAUCAUACGAUAGUUCUCUAUUUAGUUUUCAGGGGAAUCUGCAUCCUUUUUUCCACAGUGAUUGUACCAAUUUACAUUCCCACCAACAGUGAAGAAUGGUUCCCUUUUCUCUGCACCCUCUCCAGCAUUUGCUAUUUGUAGAACUGUUAAUGAUGGCUAUUCUGACCAGUGUGAGGUGAUAUCCCAUCGUAGUUUUGGUUUGCAUUUCUCUAAUAAUUAGUGAUGUUGAGCAUCUCUUCAUGUGUUUCCUGGCCAUCCGUAUGUCUUCUUUGGAGAAAUAUCUAUUUAGGUCUUCUACCAUUUUUUUGUUGUUGGAUUGUUUUGUUGUUGUUGUUGUUGUUGAGUUGUCUGAGUUGUUUGCAUAUUUUGAAGAUUAGGCUCUUGUGGGUUGCAUUGUUUGCAAAGAUUUUUUCCCAUCUGAGGGUUGUCUUUUUGUUUUUUGAAUGCUUUUCAUUGCUGCAGAAGUUUUUGAGUUUAAUUAGGUCCCAUUGGUUUGUGUUUUUACUAUCAUUAUUCUAGGAGAUGGAUCAAACAAGAUGUUGCUGUGAUUUAUGUCAAA
This 5298-nucleotide long non-coding RNA is filed under the name Sus scrofa (pig). RNAcentral describes it as "lncRNA (ENSSSCG00025061853.1)". The record is from RNAcentral. Lineage: Eukaryota; Metazoa; Chordata; Mammalia; Artiodactyla; Suidae.